RNAcentral lists this ribosomal RNA (253 nucleotides) under uncultured bacterium. Its description in RNAcentral is "partial 16S ribosomal RNA". It matches the Rfam family "Bacterial small subunit ribosomal RNA", at positions 524 to 776 of the family's 1533-position model. The record is from RNAcentral.
UACAGAGGUCUCAAGCGUUGUUCGGAUUCAUUGGGCGUAAAGGGUGCGUAGGCGGCGGGGCAAGUCAGGUGUGAAAUCCCGGAGCUCAACUCCGGAACUGCAUUUGAUACUGCCUCGCUAGAGUACUGGAGAGGAGACUGGAAUUUACGGUGUAGCAGUGAAAUGCGUAGAGAUCGUAAGGAAGACCAGUGGCGAAGGCGAGUCUCUGGACAGUUACUGACGCUGAGGCACGAAGGCCAGGGGAGCAAACGGG